GAUGAACGCUGGCGGCGUGCCUAAUACAUGCAAGUCGAGCGAACGGACGAGAAGCUUGCUUUUCUGAUGUUAGCGGCGGACGGGUGAGUAACACGUGGAUAACCUACCUAUAAGACUGGGAUAACUUCGGGAAACCGGAGCUAAUACCGGAUAAUAUUUUGAACCGCAUGGUUCAAAAGUGAAAGACGGUCUUGCUGUCACUUAUAGAUGGAUCCGCGCUGCAUUAGCUAGUUGGUAAGGUAACGGCUUACCAAGGCAACGAUGCAUAGCCGACCUGCGAGGGUGAUCGGCCACACUGGAACUGAGACACGGUCCAGACUCCUACGGGAGGCAGCAGUAGGGAAUCUUCCGCAAUGGGCGAAAGCCUGACGGAGCAACGCCGCGUGAGUGAUGAAGGUCUUCGGAUCGUAAAACUCUGUUAUUAGGGAAGAACAUAUGUGUAAGUAACUGUGCACAUCUUGACGGUACCUAAUCAGAAAGCCACGGCUAACUACGUG
This 497-nucleotide ribosomal RNA is filed under the name uncultured bacterium. RNAcentral describes it as "partial 16S ribosomal RNA". It matches the Rfam family "Bacterial small subunit ribosomal RNA", at positions 28 to 507 of the family's 1533-position model. The record is from RNAcentral.